GUGCUCGCUUCAGCAGCACAUAUACAACAAUUUGGAGAAGAUUAGCAUGGCCCCUAGGCAAGGAUGAUAUGCAAAUUUGUGAAGCAUUCCAUAUUUUU
RNAcentral lists this small nuclear RNA (98 nucleotides) under Zalophus californianus (California sea lion). Lineage: Eukaryota; Metazoa; Chordata; Mammalia; Carnivora; Otariidae. RNAcentral also lists the same sequence under 1 other name. The record is from RNAcentral.